RNAcentral lists this ribosomal RNA (324 nucleotides) under uncultured eukaryote. RNAcentral's name for it is "partial 18S ribosomal RNA". It matches the Rfam family "Eukaryotic small subunit ribosomal RNA", at positions 1470 to 1796 of the family's 1831-position model. The record is from RNAcentral.
CCCUUAGAUGUUCUGGGCUGCAUGCGCGCUACACUGAAGCUAUCAACACGUUUUCCCUCCCUGAGAAGGGCGGGUAACCUUUUGAAUCAGCUUCGUGGUAGGGAUCGGGGCUUGCAAUUGUUCCCCGUGAACCAGGAAUUCCUAGUAGACGCGAGUCAUAAGCUCGCAUCGAUUAAGUCCCUGCCCUUUGUACACACCGCCCGCCGCUACUACCGAUUGAACGUUUUAGUGAGGCAUUUGGACCGACGCAUCUCAGUUUAACCGCUGGUUUGUGUUGGAAAGACUUCCAAACUUGAGCGUUUAGAGGAAGUAAAAGUCGUAACA